AUACGGAAGGUGCGAGCGUUAUCCGGAUUCAUUGGGUUUAAAGGGAGCGCAGGCGGAGAUGCAAGCGUGACGUCAAAUUUCGGGGCUCAACCCCGUCUCGCGUCGCGAACUGCGUCCCUUGGUUGCGGGAAGGGGAGGCGGAACUCGUGGUGUAGCGGUGAAAUGCAUAGAUAUCACGAAGAACUCCGAUCGCGAAGGCAGCCUUCCGGCCCGUCAACGACGCUCAUGCUCGAAGGUGCGGGUAUCAAACAGGAUUAGAUACCCUGGUAGUCCGCACAGUAAACGAUGGACACCCGCGGUUUGGCCUGUAUGGCUGAGCCGCCAAGCGAAAGCGUUAAGUGUCCCACCUGGGGAGUACGCCGGCAACGGUGAAACUCAAAGGAAUUGACGGGG
Molecule: ribosomal RNA, 393 nt
Filed under: uncultured bacterium
Lineage: Bacteria
Description: partial 16S ribosomal RNA
Rfam family: Bacterial small subunit ribosomal RNA
Source: RNAcentral